UUAGAGCAAUUUCACACACCUUGGAGGAGGAUCCUUGGAUGCUUAGGCUCCAUUCAACCAAGUUUAGGGUUAUUUCUUCCAUNCUUUCAUUAUUUUCAUCUAGUUUCACCAUGAUUAUGGUGAACUAAGCCCUUUGUUGUUGGGGAACAAUGUAAUCUUUUGAAACUCUCAUAUAUUCAAAUUCUUAUUUAUUUCAUAUGCUUGCCAUAUACUUGUUUAUCAAUUGUUGGGUUCUCAUCUCUGCUCAAUGCUUUUAUUGUUUAACUCAUUCAGUAAAAGAUGUUUGUCUUUAUCGAUAUGGGGACUACGGUAAUGUCAUGAACUGGUGGGAAAUUCCUUGAUUAUGCCAAUAUCCCCUAGGGAUAGGGGUAGGACGGUCAAUUGUAGUUGCUUCCGAUCACAUUGCAUUAUUGGUUACUAGGGGAGGCUAGGGAUACCAAGCCGGUAAUUAAUAAUAGGCUCUUUUUACCAAGGGAUUGGGUUAAGGGUAAAUAAGAAAGUGUGCAUGGCAAUUAGAUAAAUAAGUGAAGUAAAUAAGAAGAGUAGAUAUAUGAGAGUGGAUAAGAUGAAAUUGUGAACGCCAACAACAACAUUCAUCCAUAGUUUCUCAAAACCAAUUGAAUCAACUGCAUUGCAUGUUUAUUUUUGUUCUUUGCAUAUAACCACAAAAUUUAUUCUCUUCUCAAGUCUUACGCGAUUAGGUUACAUGAAAGUUAAGGCUUAAGAGUCCUUUAGAAAAAUGAUACUCGGACUUACCCAUUUAUAUUACUUGAUAAUGAUCUGGUACACUUGUCAGGGACUUAACAGAGUCUAGCAUAGCUCUCCCCACAUCUACAUCUUCAAUCACACAUGGAAGAGUAAGACUUCCUGGGUCCUUCAUCUUUGGUAGAUGAUGUCUCUUUCUAGGCCUUGCAUGCACUUCUUGUUCUUCUUUUUCAUCUAAAUUUAUCACCUCUCCAAGAUAGUAUUUUAUUUGCUUGGAGUAAACAGGAAUCUGGGGAAAAUUUUCAAUUAAGGAACAACAGUCACCUGGUUAAAAAUUUCCCUGAAUGGCCCACAGUGACUUCCUUUUCUCUCAUUUUCUCUUUUUUUUUUUCAAUCCUCUCCUCUUCUUCUUCUUCCUCACUGCUCUCAAUCUCCAUAUUUUAACUCAUCUCCUCAUCUUCCUCCUCACUACUUUCCACCUCAAAAAAUUCCUCUUCUGCUUUUCUCUUGCUCCUAGUCAUAAUAGCUUUACAUUCCUCCUUAGGGUUAACAUCAGUAUUAGCCCUAAAUUGGUUCUUCUCUGUCAUCUCCACCCUUUUUUCCAGUUGACCCAUCUGCAUCUCCAAGGUUC
This 1336-nucleotide long non-coding RNA is filed under the name Vigna radiata. RNAcentral's name for it is "long non-coding RNA (VRAD_LNC009285)". Lineage: Eukaryota; Viridiplantae; Streptophyta; Magnoliopsida; Fabales; Fabaceae. The record is from RNAcentral.